Molecule: transfer-messenger RNA, 361 nt
Filed under: Thermomicrobiales
Lineage: Bacteria; Pseudomonadati; Thermomicrobiota; Thermomicrobia
Also listed under: 1 other name
Description: LC2-1 sp016781925 Standard tmRNA
Rfam family: transfer-messenger RNA
About the family: Bacterial tmRNA, also known as 10Sa RNA or SsrA, is named for its dual tRNA and mRNA-like properties. Its role is to liberate the mRNA from a stalled ribosome.
Source: RNAcentral
GGGGAUGUUUGGUCUCGACAGGGUUGUAGGUACGAACGUUGCACGCCGAGGUGCCCGAGGCCUCGUAAAAACGGGCAAAAAAGUAGCUGGCACUCCCAACUACGCUCUCGCUGCCUAAGUCACAGACCUCUAGGUAGCGCGUCCGUCCGGUCCUCCCCCUCCUGGGACCGGGUACGGGCGUCACAAAGGGAGGGUGCGGCGGUCUAGUUUGCCGGAGCGCAACCGCCAAAGACAGUCUGGCUCACCGCAGCGGAACCUGGUCGGUGGGGGUCCGCGGCGGCACACAAAACGCCGACUAAGCGUGUAGUAGAUGCUCGACCGAAGAUUCUGGACGGGGGUUCGAUUCCCCCCAUCUCCACCA